This 451-nucleotide long non-coding RNA is filed under the name Microcebus murinus (gray mouse lemur). Its description in RNAcentral is "lncRNA (ENSMICG00000048388.1)". Lineage: Eukaryota; Metazoa; Chordata; Mammalia; Primates; Cheirogaleidae. The record is from RNAcentral.
GAAGGACAAGGACCUCUCUUAGCACUUAAUAGAUGACGAUGCAUAGGGAGGUCUACAGAGGGUUAGAUCGUUAUGUCAUUGGCUCAUCACAGCAACCCCACGAGGUAUGUGCUAUUUUCCUCAGGAAAAUUAAAUGAAUUCUCAUAGAUUCCAACAUGUGCACAGCCAAGCCAAGACUUCAACCCCGUUCUGUCCAGUGCUCAAAACUCUUUCACCUUCAUUAUUUUGCAGGAAACAUGAGAAGAAGUGGGUGGAGACUAAAUCCCAGUUCUGUAGACCCUGGGAUGUCGGUGGCUGCAGAGCCAGAAUCCAGCACCAGAUCUUCUGUGCCAAGCCUUCUGUUCUGAAAGCCUUGCGGUCUCCAUCAUCCGUGAAAGCUGGACAGGGUUACAGAGAUGCUCCUCCUCCUUUUCCAGGUGACCCCAGGCAACAUUUACAGUUAUGACAGGUG